RNAcentral lists this ribosomal RNA (497 nucleotides) under uncultured bacterium. Its description in RNAcentral is "partial 16S ribosomal RNA". It matches the Rfam family "Bacterial small subunit ribosomal RNA", at positions 28 to 507 of the family's 1533-position model. The record is from RNAcentral.
GACGAACGCUGGCGGCGUGCUUAACACAUGCAAGUCGAACGGUGAAGCGCCUUCCUUUUUGGUGGGAGGGGAUGAGCGGCGAACGGGUGAGUAACACGUGAGCAACCUGCCCCCUUCUUCUGGACAACCGCAUGAAAGAGUGGCUAACACGGGAUAUUCUGGGUCUGUCGCAUGAUGGGUCUGGGACAGAUAUUGUGUCGGUGGGGGAUGGGCCCGCGCCGCAUCAGCUAGUUGGUGGGGUAACGGCUUACCAAGGCGACGAUGCCUAGCCGCCCUGAGAGGAGGAUCGGCGACACCGGUGCGGCGGCGCCGCCGCGACUCCUCCGAGAGGCAGCAGCAGUGAAGCUUCUUGAACGGUGGGAAGCCGCCUGGUGCAACGCCGCCGGGUGAAUGAUGGACGUCUUCGGGUUGUGAACUGCUUUCGCGAGAGAAGCAAUCCUGCCUUGUUUGUGCGUGGGUUGACGGUACCUGAAUAAGAAGCGCCGGCUAACUACGUG